Molecule: ribosomal RNA, 101 nt
Filed under: Diaphorina citri (Asian citrus psyllid)
Lineage: Eukaryota; Metazoa; Arthropoda; Insecta; Hemiptera; Psyllidae
Source: RNAcentral
CGAUAGCAAGUUGAGUGCACUAGUUCCCUAUGGAUCACUGAUGUUAAUCAACGUUGCGCGUGGUUGGUAUACGGAUGGGUGACCAACUGGACAAUCGCGUG